Molecule: ribosomal RNA, 263 nt
Filed under: uncultured archaeon
Lineage: Archaea
Description: partial 16S ribosomal RNA
Rfam family: Archaeal small subunit ribosomal RNA
Source: RNAcentral
AGGGUGUAAACGCUGCAGACUUGGUGUUGGAGGCCCUUUGGGGGCAUUCAGUGCCGGAGAGAAGUUGUUAAGUCUGCUACUUGGGGAGUACGUCCGCAAGGAUGAAACUUAAAGGAAUUGGCGGGGGAGCACCGCAACGGGAGGAGCGUGCGGUUUAAUUGGAUUCAACGCCGAAAAACUCACCAGCAGCGACUGUUACAUGAAAGUCAGGUUGAUGACCUUACUAGAUUUUCAGUAGAGGAGGGUGCAUGGCGUCAGUGACU